GGGGCUCCAGAAGUGCGUGCCCCGGGGCGCUCACCCGGCCCGGCAAUUGUGGGGAGAAGAGAAUAGAGGAGUGAAGAAGGGUGCAUUUUCCAUCUCACCUCAGUCCUCGGCUAGGAAAACCACGUAGCCCUGACCAGUGGGCUCAAGGCCCUGCUGGAAACUGGUUCUGAGUGUAUAUGUCUCAGCUUGAGAUGAGAAAAUGAGAACAAGUAACAAGCAUAUUUUUCAACUGUAAGCCAGGCCAGAGUUGUGGAGAAGAGGGAGAAGAGCAAGACAGGGGGUCUUUUCUAAAGUGCAGGUUAGGGGCUUCCCUGGUGGCGCAGUGGUUAAGAAUCUGUCUGCCAAUGCAGGGGACACGGGUUCGAGCCCUGGUCUGGGAAGAUCUCACAUGCCAUGGAGCAACUAAGCCCGUGCGCCACAACUACUGAGCCUGCGCUCUAGAGCCUGCGAGCCACAACUAAUGAGCCUGUAUGCCACAACUAGUGAAGCCCACGGACCUAGAGCCCGUGCUCCGCAACAAGAGAAGCCACCGCAAUGAGAAGCCCGCACACUGCAACGAAGACCCAACACAGCCCAAAAUACAAAAAACAAGUAAAAUUGGUUUUCAAAUCUGCUAAUUGGUGAAAAGAGAUCCACUUCUCUCUCAAGUUACAGAAGCAGAAAUUCAACUGGUCCUUAUUAAUGAAAGAUCUUCAGUGAAGGUUGAAAGCCCUUCAGAUCAAUCAUACCAGACUUUGAGCUCCUCUGGCCUCUGUGGUUCUGUCAUCUGUGCUCAUGGUUCACAGGUGUGCAGGACAGCUAUGUCCAGGACUAACCGAGGACAAAAAUGGUUACUUAACCACCCAGGUGAAAUAUCCUUUCUAUGGAAGAUUAAAAAUCCCAGAAAGUCUGUGGGACUGGCUUUUGGAGUAUAGCUAUGAGUAAAAUAUUCUCUAGAUUUUCCCAAUGUAUUGUGAUUCAAUUUAUCAGAUAAAUGAGUUGUUGGAGGACUUUCAUUUAAAUUGACAAAUUUUCCUCCAGUAUAAAGUUCCAUAGGGACAUAGUCUUCAUUCUUUACCAAUUUCAGGUUGCCACUAAUGUCUAGAGGAACUAAAGGUAUUUAGCCUCAGGGUGACAUAUGAGCUACUUUCAAAUAUUUGUAGAAUGUUAAAUAGAAGCAGUAGUAUACUUUUUCUCCAAAGUCAUAUGGGUGGGACAAAAUCUUAGUAAUCAUAGUUGUCCAGUAGACUACUUUGGAGGUUGUGACCCACCUCUACCUCUGGAGAUGUUCAAUAAAAGUGUGGAUGAUCAUUUGACAUGAAAGUCAUGUGUCAGAUAUUUCUUGGACCAGAUGGUAUG
Molecule: long non-coding RNA, 1338 nt
Organism: Lagenorhynchus albirostris (white-beaked dolphin)
Lineage: Eukaryota; Metazoa; Chordata; Mammalia; Artiodactyla; Delphinidae
Exons: 5
Source: RefSeq, a predicted model, not a curated record